RNAcentral lists this long non-coding RNA (571 nucleotides) under Ananas comosus (pineapple). RNAcentral describes it as "long non-coding RNA (ACOM_LNC009477)". Lineage: Eukaryota; Viridiplantae; Streptophyta; Magnoliopsida; Poales; Bromeliaceae. The record is from RNAcentral.
GCGGGGCCAGGGCCAUUUUUGCAAAUAAUUUUUACACAGGGCUAUUUUCGAAAAUAAAAUUUUUUAUGGGGCUAUUUGCAAAAAAAGCCCUACUUUAUGUAUGUAAUUUUUUUUAGGGAAAACUUCAAGAACCUCCCUUGUGGUUUCGUACUUUUUCAUUUUAGUAUCUGUGGUAGUUUAAAGUGUAUCAAGUUAGUACCCUGUGGUUUCGCACUUUCUCACUUUAGUACCCUGUGGUAUAAAGUGUAUCAAGUUACUACUAUGUGGUUUUAUUUUUAUAUCAAGUUAGUACCCUGUGGUUUUAUUUUUGUAUCAAGUUAGUACCCUGUGAUUUUUAAAGUACAGGAUAUUAAAGUGAGAAAGUGUGAAACCACAGGGUACUAAAGUGAGAAAGUGCGAAACCACAGGGUACUAACUUGAUACACUUUAAACCACAGGAUACUAAAGUAAAAAAGUGUAAAACUACAGGGUACUAACUUGAUAAACUUUAAAUCACAGGAUACUAAAGUGAGAAAAAGUGAAACCACAAGGUGGGUAUUUGAAGUUUUCCUUUUUUUUUUUUUUUUUUUUU